GAUGAACGCUGGCGGCGUGCCUAAUACAUGCAAGUCGAGCGAACAGACGAGGAGCUUGCUCCUCUGACGUUAGCGGCGGACGGGUGAGUAACACGUGGAUAACCUACCUAUAAGACUGGGAUAACUUCGGGAAACCGGAGCUAAUACCGGAUAAUAUAUUGAACCGCAUGGUUCAAUAGUGAAAGACGGUUUUGCUGUCACUUAUAGAUGGAUCCGCGCCGCAUUAGCUAGUUGGUAAGGUAACGGCUUACCAAGGCGACGAUGCGUAGCCGACCUGAGAGGGUGAUCGGCCACACUGGAACUGAGACAUGGUCCAGACUCCUACGGGAGGCAGGAGUAGGGAAUCUUCCGCAAUGGGCGAAAGCCUGACGGAGCAACGCCGCGUGAGUGAUGAAGGUCUUCGGAUCGUAAAACUCUGUUAUUAGGGAAGAACAAAUGUGUAAGUAACUAUGCACGUCUUGACGGUACCUAAUCAGAAAGCCACGGCUAACUACGUG
RNAcentral lists this ribosomal RNA (497 nucleotides) under uncultured bacterium. RNAcentral's name for it is "partial 16S ribosomal RNA". It matches the Rfam family "Bacterial small subunit ribosomal RNA", at positions 28 to 507 of the family's 1533-position model. The record is from RNAcentral.